CAACGUGGAGUCCUGGACCAGCAGCGCCAGCAUCCCUUGGGAGCUUUCGAGAAAUGCAGAUGCUCGAGCCCCAGGCGGGCCUCUUGAAUCAGAGACUGUGGGGUGGGGCCCUCCUGGCAAUUCUGAUGCCCGCUCAAGUGUGGGAACCAGAGCCUUAAAGGGGUGUGGGCCGCAAGCGCCCCGUGCAUCUCAUAGCCUCCAUCCGCACCAGCCCACAGGGAUUUUAAGAACGAUUAGCUGUCUUUAUGCUGAGUUGUAAAGAAGCAAAAUCCACUUGCAUAGCCAAGCUUAUGCCGGGUGUUUCCUUCCUGGACCUCCCAGCUAGCAUCUGCAUCCGACUGCGGUCCCCACACAGUCACUUUGUUAAUCCACUUGUUUGUUGAAACAUUAAUAGAGGAACACAGUAACGACCUCAAACAGUCCCGAGAGGAUUUAAUGACAAGGGAAUCUCUCCAUCGCAGUCCGAGUCCUGCUCCCCAGAGGCGGCCACAGCCAGAACUCUUGUGGAUUUUCCCAGAGCUCUUCUCUAAAUCCAUACUCAAGUCCACGAACAUCCCUUGAACACGCACACCAGAAGCCGACCACAGCUUUACACAGUGUCUUUUUCCUGCACUUAGCAACAUAUCAUGGAGCUCACACAGACCUCUGUUUUCGUAACCUGCUUGUCUGACUGUGUGUGAUUAAUUGAGCAAACCCCUACGGCUGAGUGCUUCAUGUGCUUCUCAUCUUUUGCUUUUACGUGCAACAAUCCUUGUGCAUAUAUAUCCUUACACAAAUGGCCCAACGUUGGGGUUUCCAGAUGUGUGAAUUUCACAGGCCAAUUAAAGUAUCAAGGGGCUGGGGCCGGCCUGGUGGCACAGCGGUUAACUGCACACAUUCGCUUCGGCAGCCCAGAGUUCACCGGUUCGGAUCCCGGGUGCGGACAUGGCACCACUUGGCAAGCCAUGCUGUGAUCUGCGAUGACUGGUUUUCAACAAGAUUCUUCGAAGGAUGAAGGGAGCUGGGAUUAUACACAUGCACUCGCCCCGCCCUCCAAAAUCCCAAGGGUGUCGUUUUGUAGCGGGCCUCCGCCAGCUUCUCCCCAUUCUGCUUUUAAUGACGCCGCCCUGCGGUCCCAGGUGUUCCCCGUGAAGAGCGAGCGCUUCCAUUCUCGUUAGGUAGGGCGACUGAUUUGCUAGAAGGUAAUUCCAAGCAGGUGCCUAAUGAGAUUAACGCGGCAACUGGACAGCUGCUUCACUUUCAAAGAAAUCUGUUAGCAGGUGCUCGUGGGCUCAGCUCUAUUAAAAGCCAAUUGCUCUGUAAUUCAAUUGCGUGGCAGCCUCUAUUAUCCAGGAGUCCAAAUGCCUGGAAAACAGGACGGCUCCUGCCUGCGGUCUGGCCCUGCCCCACUUCCCCAAGAGUGCCUGGUCUCUCAUCCCUUCUGUGUAUUUGCAGAUGGCUCCUGCAGAUGGCUCCUAAACUGAGCCUUGCGGAGGCCCUGUCUGAGGACGACGGCUUUGGCAUCCCCCGGGAGCCAGAACCCACAUUUUCACCAGGUGAUUCACAGGUGACCAUGACACACGUGGUCCAGGGAGCACGCACAGAGAAACCAUCCAGAGCCCUCGCUGCUCAGAGUGUGGUCUGCGGACCAGCAGCGUCCCCUGGAGCCUGUUAGAAAUGCGGGAUGUCAGGCCUGCCCCGGACUGUCAGCCCAGGAUCUGCAUUUUAACCAGCUCCCCGGGAGACCAGGCAUCGACCUAGGACUCAGCGCAGGCAAAAUGCGGGCACACAGGAAGUGCGUGUGGCCUCUCAGGCUCAGCCUCCCAGCCCCCUCUUCUUCCGAGGACAAGGCUUAGCUGUCAUCCUCCAAUGUUGAAGCUUGAUUUUUCUGGAAAGGGUCUCAUACUAUUUCCUGGCACUGCUGUAACAAAGUACCACAAACUGAGUGGCUCAAAACGACAGACAUGUAUUCUCUCACAGUCCCAGAGGUCAGUGUCCAAACUCAGGUUCCCUCUGGGGACUCCAAGUGAGAAUUCGCUCCAGGCCUCUCCCCCAGCUUCUGGUGGCGGCCAGCGACCCUCGGCGUCAGGACUUGUCGACGCAUCACUCCCCUCUGCUCCAUCGUCACACGGCCUUCCCUGUGUCCGUGACUUCUCUUCUGUCUCUUAUAAGCACAUCAGACAUCAGAUUGAGGGCCCACCCUAAUCCAGGAUGAUCUCCUCUCAAGAUCCUUAAUUACAUCUGCAAAGACUA
This is a long non-coding RNA of Equus caballus (horse), 2232 nucleotides long. The record is from Ensembl. Lineage: Eukaryota; Metazoa; Chordata; Mammalia; Perissodactyla; Equidae.